AUUUUGGGGGAUUUUGGGGGAUUUUUGGGGUUUUUCUCUCACCUGUCUCACCUGUCUCACCUGGACGUGCCCAUCAAGGCUGGGAACGGUCCCAGAAUGGAGCAAAUCCAGGGGAUUUUGGGUUCCGCUGGCCCAAAACCGGGGAUUUUUGGGAUUUUGGGGGAUUUUUGUGGAUUUUUUCAGAUUUUGGGGGAUUUUUGGGGAUUUUUGGGGUUUUUCUCUCACCUGUCUCACCUGUGCUCACCUGGAUGAGUCCAGGAAGGUUUUGGGUUCCAUCAAGGCUGGGAAUGGUCCCAGAAUGGAGCAAAUCUGGGGGAUUUUGGGUUCUGCUAACCCAAAACUGGGGAUUUUUUGGGGUUAUCAGGGAUUCUUUUUGGGAUUUUGGGGUUUUUUUUCUCACCUGUCUCACCUGUGCUCACCUGGAUGGGUCCAGGAAGGUUUUGGGUUCCACCAAGGCUGGGAACGGUCCCAGAAUGGGGCAAAUCCUGGGGAUUUGGGGUUCCGCUGACCCAAAACUGGGGAUUUUGGGGAUUUUUUUGGGGAUUUUGGGAAUUUUGGGAUUCCCCUCCCCCGUCCCACCUGCCUGACGUGUCCCACCUGUCUCACCUGUGCUCACCUGGAUGGGUCCAGGAAGGUUUUGGGUUCCACCAGGGCUGGGAACGGUCCCAAAAUGGGGCAAAUCCGGGGGAUUUGGGGUUCGGCUGACCCAAAAACGGGGGUUUUUUGGGGAUUUUUUUGGGGAUUUUGGGAUUUUGGGAUUCCCCUGUCUGACGUGUCCCACCUGUCUCACCUGUGCUCACCUGGAUGGGUCCAGGAAGGUUUUGGGUUCCAUCAAGGCUGCGAACAGCCCCCAAAUGGGGCAAAUCCGGUGGAUUUUGUGUUCAUUGACCCAAAACCGGGGAUUUUUUUGGGAUUUUUUUGGGGAUUUUGGGAAUUUUGGGAUUCCCCUCCCCCGUCCCACCUGUCUGACGUGUCCCCCCGUCUCACCUGUGCAGCGCAGCUGCCGCGGGACCUGCAGUGUGCGCAGGUGCAGACCUUCGGGCCCGAGCAGUGCGCCCGCGCCUACGGCGGCGCCGUCACCCCCAACAUGUUCUGCGCAGGGGUGCCCCAGGGCGGCGUCGACUCCUGCCAGGGUGACUCCGGGGGCCC
Molecule: long non-coding RNA, 1149 nt
Filed under: Chloebia gouldiae (Gouldian finch)
Lineage: Eukaryota; Metazoa; Chordata; Aves; Passeriformes; Passeridae
Description: Erythrura gouldiae (Gouldian finch) lncRNA (ENSEGOG00005011533.1)
Source: RNAcentral